UACGAAGGGGGCUAGCGUUGCUCGGAAUCACUGGGCGUAAAGCGCACGUAGGCGGAUCUUUAAGUCAGGGGUGAAAUCCUGGAGCUCAACUCCAGAACUGCCUUUGAUACUGGGGAUCUCGAGUCCGGAAGAGGUGAGUGGAACUCCGAGUGUAGAGGUGAAAUUCGUAGAUAUUCGGAAGAACACCAGUGGCGAAGGCGACACACUGGCCCGUUACUGACGCUGAGGCGCGAAAGCGUGGGGAGCAAACAGG
This 253-nucleotide ribosomal RNA is filed under the name uncultured bacterium. RNAcentral describes it as "partial 16S ribosomal RNA". It matches the Rfam family "Bacterial small subunit ribosomal RNA", at positions 524 to 776 of the family's 1533-position model. The record is from RNAcentral.